This is a long non-coding RNA of Eurytemora carolleeae, 582 nucleotides long. RefSeq lists it as uncharacterized. Lineage: Eukaryota; Metazoa; Arthropoda; Copepoda; Calanoida; Temoridae. The record is from RefSeq and is a predicted model, not a curated record. The transcript is spliced from 5 exons.
CAUAUUGCUAUACCGCUGCAGCAACUGCAACAGCUUGCAGUGGACGUAAGAAGAGAUCUAUCCUGACAGAUCCGAUAUCUGAGGACAGGGGGGAGAUAAUACCAUCCAGUCAAUUCAAAUCUCCUCUCAGUGAAGUUGAGAGUGGUAAAACUGAGAAACAUUAUACUGGCCGAGAUGCUCGUUUAUUCUUACUUUCUACAUCAACAUCAACUAUCAUCGUAACAUCAACAAGUACAACGACAUCAUUCACAGGAACUACCACUUUAAGUGUUCUAUGCAUACCUACCUUCUCCGCUUGUGGAUAAAUCGUUUGUUAUCGUUAUUCUUCUGGUUAUCAUGAUGCUUGACUGAUGUGAUUCUAACAGAGAUGUUAAAACGUUAGCUGUUGCUGAAUUAUUAGAUUAUUUGUUUAUUUCAUAAAUUAUUUGUUCUUAUUAAUCGUGUUAUUAUGUUUCAAUGACUGAUGUGAUUCUAACAGUGAGUUUAAUAUAUUGUUAUUGUUUUUUUCUUCGGAUUUUGAAAGUUUAUCUUUUUUCCUAAUAUAAUGCACAGUGAAUUAUAAAUAAAAAUUGUGUACGCUCA